CUACGUGCCAGCAGCCGCGGUAAUACGGAAGGUCCGGGCGUUAUCCGGAAUUAUUGGGUUUAAAGGGAGCGCAGGCGGGAGUAUAAGUCAGCUGUUAAAUAUCAGGGCCCAACUCUGUUAUGCAGUUGAAACUAUAUUUCUUGAGUACGCACAAGGAUGGCGGAAUUCAGGGUGUAGCGGUGAAAUGCUUAGAUAUCCUGAAGAACUCCGAUCGCGAAGGCAGCCAUCCGGAGCGUAACUGACGCUGAGGCUCGAAGGUGCGGGUAUCGAACAGGAUUAGAUACCCUGGUAGUCCGCACGGUAAACGAUGAAUACUCGCAGUUCGGCCGUUUAGGUCGAGUUGUCCAGCGAAAGCGUUAAGUAUUCCACCUGGGGAGUACGCCGGCAACGGUGAAACUCAAAGGAAUUGACGGGGGCCCGCACAAGCGGAGGAACAUGUGGUUUAAUUCGAUGAUACGCGAGGAACCUUACCCGGGCUUGAAC
Molecule: ribosomal RNA, 483 nt
Filed under: uncultured bacterium
Lineage: Bacteria
Description: bacterial SSU rRNA
Rfam family: Bacterial small subunit ribosomal RNA
Source: RNAcentral